Molecule: non-coding RNA, 935 nt
Organism: Physcomitrium patens
Lineage: Eukaryota; Viridiplantae; Streptophyta; Bryopsida; Funariales; Funariaceae
Source: RefSeq, a predicted model, not a curated record
GAAGUAGAGAGUGUGGGCAAUCAAUUUCCUUGUUUUGGUAGGAUUUCUGCGAUAGCAGAGAGGGACGUUGUUCUCCUCGCCUGGUUUAGAGAAAACUGGAACGAUGCGGAACAAACCAACUUGUGAUAAUCAAAUCCACACACCGUACAGUGAGAUGGUCGGCGAUGCAACCUCAGCUCUGAAGGACCGCCCAGGCUCUACUCAGAAAAACAUCAACUCCUUACGUGAAUGCAUUAUAAUCUGCAGUUGGCAACCGCUGAGUCCACAAACUUGUCUCCAGGCGUGAGUGUUCAAAUACAGAAACUGGCGAACUUGUCACAAGGCGUUGAAGUGAACUGAGAUAUUGAGAGAUUCAUUUUAGUUUGCGCUCAAGACAACACCACGCUCCUUGAAAAAUGCUUUUGCUCCUCAAUGUCCUUUUGCAGUAGGAUUUCUUCCUCAACGCAAAACCGAAAUACCAUCAUGCCGUAACUCAGUACACCCAACCUACAACACCCUAAUGACAUUAUCACAAACAUUGAGAUGUAUGGAACGAUGAGAUGCACCGAGGAAGCCAGAUCCUUGGCGAGAAGCAACAAAAUCCAGACCACCACGACGGCCGUGAAGAUGCUGCAGAUCUUCCACACCAGCUUCAUGGCAAUGCAGUGCAGAAUUUGACCAAUCUCGUGGAGGCGUCCAUUUCGUGCGGUGCUCGAGAUGUGUGAAAAAGAUGUGGGGCCCAAAUCUGCGCAGCAUGCGCUUUUGGCCCGAGUUGGAACUGAAAAAACAGGAAGAAUAUAACUUAUCAAGUUGAAGGGCAAAUUUGCAAUUAUCACAAAAGGAGGGGUAGAUUCGAUAUGAUUCUUGAUAUAUAUUUUUAAAUUUUAGGGGCAUGUAUGAUAUUUUUCCUUAAAUAUGUCUAUUUAUAUACAUUUUCUAAUAAAGAAAUUCAAUCA